Molecule: ribosomal RNA, 1329 nt
Filed under: Campylobacter lari
Lineage: Bacteria; Pseudomonadati; Campylobacterota; Epsilonproteobacteria; Campylobacterales; Campylobacteraceae
Description: partial 23S ribosomal RNA
Rfam family: Bacterial large subunit ribosomal RNA
Source: RNAcentral
CCAAGAAAAGUUUCUAAGUUUAGCUAAUGUUGCCCGUACCGUAAACCGACACAGGUGGGUGGGAUGAGUAUUCUAAGGCGCGUGGAAGAACUCUCUUUAAGGAACUCUGCAAAAUAGCACCGUAUCUUCGGUAUAAGGUGUGGUUCGCUUUGUAUUAGAAUUUACUUCGAAAGCAAAGAAACUUACAACAAAGAGUCCCUCCCGACUGUUUACCAAAAACACAGCACUCUGCUAACUCGUAAGAGGAUGUAUAGGGUGUGACGCCUGCCCGGUGCUCGAAGGUUAAUUGAUGGGGUUAGCAUUAGCGAAGCUCUUGAUCGAAGCCCGAGUAAACGGCGGCCGUAACUAUAACGGUCCUAAGGUAGCGAAAUUCCUUGUCGGUUAAAUACCGACCUGCAUGAAUGGCGUAACGAGAUGGGAGCUGUCUCAAAGAGGGAUCCAGUGAAAUUGUAGUGGAGGUGAAAAUUCCUCCUACCCGCGGCAAGACGGAAAGACCCCGUGGACCUUUACUACAGCUUGACACUGCUAUUUGGAUAAGAAUGUGCAGGAUAGGUGGGAGGCUUUGAGUAAUAGACGCCAGUUUAUUAUGAGCCGUUGUUGAGAUACCACUCUUUCUUAUUUGGGUAGCUAACCAGCUUGAGUUAUCCUCAAGUGGGACAAUGUCUGGUGGGUAGUUUGACUGGGGCGGUCGCCUCCCAAAUAAUAACGGAGGCUUACAAAGGUUGGCUCAGAACGGUUGGAAAUCGUUCGUAGAGUAUAAAGGUAUAAGCCAGCUUAACUGCAAGACAUACAAGUCAAGCAGAGACGAAAGUCGGUCUUAGUGAUCCGGUGGUUCUGUGUGGAAGGGCCAUCGCUCAAAGGAUAAAAGGUACCCCGGGGAUAACAGGCUGAUCUCCCCCAAGAGCUCACAUCGACGGGGAGGUUUGGCACCUCGAUGUCGGCUCAUCGCAUCCUGGGGCUGGAGCAGGUCCCAAGGGUAUGGCUGUUCGCCAUUUAAAGCGGUACGCGAGCUGGGUUCAGAACGUCGUGAGACAGUUCGGUCCCUAUCUGCCGUGGGCGUAAGAAGAUUGAAGAGAUUUGACCCUAGUACGAGAGGACCGGGUUGAACAAACCACUGGUGUAGCUGUUGUUCUGCCAAGAGCAUCGCAGCGUAGCUAAGUUUGGAACGGAUAAACGCUGAAAGCAUCUAAGCGUGAAGCCAACUCUAAGAUGAAUCUUCUCUAAGCUCUCUAGAAGACUACUAGUUUGAUAGGCUGGGUGUGUAAUGGAUGAAAGUCCUUUAGCUGACCAGUACUAAUAGAGCGUUUGGCUUAUCUUUUUUAUAAGCAU